AACGCUAGCUACAGGCUUAACACAUGCAAGUCGAGGGGAAACGAUAUUGGAAGCUUGCUUCCGAUAGGCGUCGACCGGCGCACGGGUGAGUAACGCGUAUCCAACCUGCCCAUCACUUGGGGAUAACCUUGCGAAAGUAAGACUAAUACCCAAUGACGUCUCUAGAAGACAUCUGAAAGGGAUUAAAGAUUUAUCGGUGAUGGAUGGGGAUGCGUCUGAUUAGCUUGUUGGCGGGGUAACGGCCCACCAAGGCGACGAUCAGUAGGGGUUCUGAGAGGAAGGUCCCCCACAUUGGAACUGAGACACGGUCCAAACUCCUACGGGAGGCAGCAGUGAGGAAUAUUGGUCAAUGGACGAGAGUCUGAACCAGCCAAGUAGCGUGCAGGAUGACGGCCCUAUGGGUUGUAAACUGCUUUUAUAAGGGAAUAAAGUGAGUCUCGUGAGACUUUUUGCAUGUACCUUAUGAAUAAGGACCGGCUAAUUCCGUGCCAGCAGCCGCGGUAAUACGGAAGGUCCGGGCGUUAUCCGGAUUUAUUGGGUUUAAAGGGAGCGUAGGCCGGAGAUUAAGCGUGUUGUGAAAUGUAGACGCUCAACGUCUGCACUGCAGCGCGAACUGGUUUCCUUGAGUACGCACAAAGUGGGCGGAAUUCGUGGUGUAGCGGUGAAAUGCUUAGAUAUCACGAAGAACUCCGAUUG
Molecule: ribosomal RNA, 696 nt
Filed under: uncultured bacterium
Lineage: Bacteria
Description: bacterial SSU rRNA
Rfam family: Bacterial small subunit ribosomal RNA
Source: RNAcentral